This 1306-nucleotide ribosomal RNA is filed under the name Faecalibacterium cf. prausnitzii KLE1255. Its description in RNAcentral is "bacterial SSU rRNA". It matches the Rfam family "Bacterial small subunit ribosomal RNA", at positions 196 to 1528 of the family's 1533-position model. Lineage: Bacteria; Bacillati; Bacillota; Clostridia; Eubacteriales; Oscillospiraceae. The record is from RNAcentral.
AGAGGGAAAAGGAGCAAUCCGCUUUGAGAUGGCCUCGCGUCCGAUUAGCUAGUUGGUGAGGUAAUGGCCCACCAAGGCGACGAUCGGUAGCCGGACUGAGAGGUUGAACGGCCACAUUGGGACUGAGACACGGCCCAGACUCCUACGGGAGGCAGCAGUGGGGAAUAUUGCACAAUGGGGGAAACCCUGAUGCAGCGACGCCGCGUGGAGGAAGAAGGUCUUCGGAUUGUAAACUCCUGUUGUUGGGGAAGAUAAUGACGGUACCCAACAAGGAAGUGACGGCUAACUACGUGCCAGCAGCCGCGGUAAAACGUAGGUCACAAGCGUUGUCCGGAAUUACUGGGUGUAAAGGGAGCGCAGGCGGGAAGACAAGUUGGAAGUGAAAUCUAUGGGCUCAACCCAUAAACUGCUUUCAAAACUGUUUUUCUUGAGUAGUGCAGAGGUAGGCGGAAUUCCCGGUGUAGCGGUGGAAUGCGUAGAUAUCGGGAGGAACACCAGUGGCGAAGGCGGCCUACUGGGCACCAACUGACGCUGAGGCUCGAAAGUGUGGGUAGCAAACAGGAUUAGAUACCCUGGUAGUCCACACCGUAAACGAUGAUUACUAGGUGUUGGAGGAUUGACCCCUUCAGUGCCGCAGUUAACACAAUAAGUAAUCCACCUGGGGAGUACGACCGCAAGGUUGAAACUCAAAGGAAUUGACGGGGGCCCGCACAAGCAGUGGAGUAUGUGGUUUAAUUCGACGCAACGCGAAGAACCUUACCAAGUCUUGACAUCCCUUGACAGGCAUAGAAAUAUGUUUUCUCUUCGGAGCAAGGAGACAGGUGGUGCAUGGUUGUCGUCAGCUCGUGUCGUGAGAUGUUGGGUUAAGUCCCGCAACGAGCGCAACCCUUAUGGUCAGUUACUACGCAAGAGGACUCUGGCCAGACUGCCGUUGACAAAACGGAGGAAGGUGGGGAUGACGUCAAAUCAUCAUGCCCUUUAUGACUUGGGCUACACACGUACUACAAUGGCGUUAAACAAAGAGAAGCAAGACCGCGAGGUGGAGCAAAACUCAGAAACAACGUCCCAGUUCGGACUGCAGGCUGCAACUCGCCUGCACGAAGUCGGAAUUGCUAGUAAUCGUGGAUCAGCAUGCCACGGUGAAUACGUUCCCGGGCCUUGUACACACCGCCCGUCACACCAUGAGAGCCGGGGGGACCCGAAGUCGGUAGUCUAACCGCAAGGAGGACGCCGCCGAAGGUAAAACUGGUGAUUGGGGUGAAGUCGUAACAAGGUAGCCGUAGGAGAACCUGCGGCUGGAUCACCU